CUUUACGUUAUAAGUCAGUGUCUGAGAUUGCUAACAUACGCUGACCCGAAAAAAGUCUACAAAUAUUUUAUCGGUCCACAAACUGCUCCCUCUUCACAGUGAUAAAAAUGUGCUAAGAGAUAGUUCGGGACACAUCUGUGACACCCAAUAAUGUCCUUUUUUAAAUUCUUUUCUUUCCUGCAAUCAUCUCUACAGUAGGUCUGGUCCUCUGAUGCUAUUUCAGUUAUACAGCAUGCUAUUAGGAGAGAAUGGGUUGGGGCACCCUGGGGAAAAUUAAAGAAGAUGAUUAGUGAGGGGAAAGACUUUUCUCUAUACCUCUCUCUCUCUCUCUCCCUCUCUCUCUCUCUCUCUCUCUCGGGUCACUAGUAGAUUUAACCCAUAGAUUUAACUACACGAUCUGCAGUGGAUCUGCAUGAAUUGAAAUGCUUCACAUUCCUGGAUGAGCCUUUACCCUGAUAAAAAAAAAAAAAGAAGAAGAAUUUAAUCGAGAUGUUUUUAGUAUCAUUGAUUGUCAUGAUAAAUUAUUUAUCUUUCCAUUAUAACUCUGCUGAUGGAAAUCACCUCUAUACAUCAACUUUGAGUCAGUUUAAUAUGAAACUCUACUGACUUUUACUACAUAUAUGACUGGAUUGGUUAUCUGUCGUGUCUUACAUUAAUAAUUACACACCCAGAACUUCUGAGUUCAAGAGGAGGCUUUGGUGUAGGAGAGAAGAAGGAGAAAAAAGUUGAAUCUGCAUCACAUUAAGCCUUAAAGCACCUGAAGCCAUUUGCAGUCGUUGAAUACUAAUCAUGUUUAAGAGAUCAUGCAUUCUGUUUGUUCUAAAACUAGGGCCUGCCUGGAGCUGUUGGACCAAAGGGUGAGGAGGGACAGCGCGGAGCACCAGGAGACCCUGCGAAAGGCAUACUUGGACCUCCUGGGAAAAAGGGCGCACGGGGGGAUAUCGGUCCGGUCGGACCUCCUGGGCUUCAGGGAAUUAAAGGUGUCCAAGGAGACAAAGGUGAAAAGGUAAAGCCAUGUUUGUGUGCACAAAUUGCUGAUCGCUUUAUUAAGGAAUGCUUCGACCGUGUGUAUUGACUUAUCGUUUCUGCGGUUGUUAAAGGGCAGU
Long non-coding RNA from Ictalurus punctatus (channel catfish), 1106 nucleotides. The record is from Ensembl. NCBI's taxonomy places the organism in Eukaryota, Metazoa, Chordata, Actinopteri, Siluriformes, Ictaluridae.